Long non-coding RNA from Octodon degus (degu), 101 nucleotides. RefSeq lists it as uncharacterized. The transcript has 3 exons. The record is from RefSeq and is a predicted model, not a curated record. NCBI's taxonomy places the organism in Eukaryota, Metazoa, Chordata, Mammalia, Rodentia, Octodontidae.
UUCAGUUCUGCAACUUUAUUUCCAAGUUAGUUCUUGUCCACAUUCACUGUCUGGAGAUUUCUGAACGUGGUAACAGGGACGUAGGUCACUAAGGUGUAAAG